RNAcentral lists this ribosomal RNA (253 nucleotides) under uncultured bacterium. RNAcentral's name for it is "partial 16S ribosomal RNA". It matches the Rfam family "Bacterial small subunit ribosomal RNA", at positions 524 to 776 of the family's 1533-position model. The record is from RNAcentral.
AACGUAGGGGGCGAGCGUUGCCCGGAUUCACUGGGCGUAAAGCGGGUGUAGGCGGUUCAUUAAGUCGGAUGUGAAAUCUCACGGCCCAACCGUGGAAUUGCAUCCGAUACUGGUGGACUUGAGGACGGUAGAGGCAGGUGGAAUUCCCGGUGUACCGGUGAAAUGGGCAGAUAUCGGGAGGAACACCAGUGGCGAAGGCGGCCUGCUGGGCCGAUCCUGACGCUGAGGCGCGAAAGCCAGGGGAGCAAACGGG